UGCCCCGUGGCUAAGUUGGUUACAGCGUCCGACUGUUACGUAAGAAGCCUCGAGGCACGGGCUAUUACCAAAAUCGGAAGGUCGAGAGUUCGACCCUCUCCGGGGCAG
Non-coding RNA from Irpex rosettiformis, 108 nucleotides. NCBI's taxonomy places the organism in Eukaryota, Fungi, Basidiomycota, Agaricomycetes, Polyporales, Irpicaceae. The record is from the annotation of a GenBank genome assembly.